GAUGAACGCUGGCGGCGUGCUUAAUACAUGCAAGUCGAGCGAACAGACGAGGAGCUUGCUCCUCUGACGUUAGCGGCGGACGGGUGAGUAACACGUGGAUAACCUACCUAUAAGACUGGGAUAACUUCGGGAAACCGGAGCUAAUACCGGAUAAUCUAUUGAACCGCAUGGUUCAAUAGUGAAAGACGGUUUUGCUGUCACUUAUAGAUGGAUCCGCGCCGCAUUAGCUAGUUGGUAAGGUAACGGCUUACCAAGGCAACGAUGCGUAGCCGACCUGAGAGGGUGGUCGGCCACACUGGAACUGAGACACGGUCCAGACUCCUACGGGAGGCAGCAGUAGGGAAUCUUCCGCAAUGGGCGAAAGCCUGACGGAGCAACGCCGCGUGAGUGAUGAAGGUCUUCGGAUCGUAAAACUCUGUUAUUAGGGAAGAACAAAUGUGUAAGUAACUAUGCACGUCUUGACGGUACCUAAUCAGAAAGCCACGGCUAACUACGUG
Molecule: ribosomal RNA, 497 nt
Filed under: uncultured bacterium
Lineage: Bacteria
Description: partial 16S ribosomal RNA
Rfam family: Bacterial small subunit ribosomal RNA
Source: RNAcentral